GCGGGACUGGCGCUGCUUCUCCGCCGCGCCCAGCGCCCGCAGCCGCUGCCGCAGCUCCCCUCGCAGCGCCCGCUUAGCGGCCCGCAGCGCCGCCGCCAUCUCGCCGCCCUCCCCCGGCGGCUCCAUGCGCCGAAGCAAGUGGAGGUUUUGUCCUGGUGAAGAUAAUCUGGAGCCCACCAGACCGUUAACGAUCCAGUAAAACAAUGUCCUUUCAUGGAGGUGCAACAGAGAUUCCAAGAGCUGUCUGGAUGCGGAGAAUGAUCUCUCUCUUGAAGCAGUCCUGCCUGGAAAGGGUGACUUGAAUUGCUGCAUGAUGCUGUGUCAAUUCC
Long non-coding RNA from Grus americana (Whooping crane), 329 nucleotides. RefSeq lists it as uncharacterized. The transcript has 3 exons. Lineage: Eukaryota; Metazoa; Chordata; Aves; Gruiformes; Gruidae. The record is from RefSeq and is a predicted model, not a curated record.